ACAUAAGCAAAAAGCAAAAAGCUUCUUCCCACCGUGGCUGGGAAGCAGCAAAUCCAGCUCUGGGUGAGCAGAGAGCUGCAAGCACAACCAUCAGCGAGCCUUUGUGUUUAGCAGUCCAGGAUGGAUUUUGGGCGCGUGGGAGUCGCUGAUAGCGGCCCGAAGAUCUGGACAAUAACGCCUCCUGACAGCUCCCGCGUCCCUCCCAGGCCUGGGGAAGGGUCCUGCUCCACUGAACACUGCGGGUUGGAGGAGCGAUGUUUGGUGGAGCUGACGGCCCAUUUCCACGGGGAAAUGAGGAUGGAGAGGAGAACAGGCUCACCCAGCACCCCUCCUCAGGGGGCUUUCCCCAAA
Long non-coding RNA from Cygnus olor (mute swan), 351 nucleotides. RefSeq lists it as uncharacterized. The record is from RefSeq and is a predicted model, not a curated record. NCBI's taxonomy places the organism in Eukaryota, Metazoa, Chordata, Aves, Anseriformes, Anatidae. The transcript has 3 exons.